UAAGGAAUAUUGGACAAUGGGCGAAAGCCUGAUCCAGCCAUGCCGCGUGCAGGAAGACGGCCCUACGGGUUGUAAACUGCUUUUGUAAGGGAAUAAUAAGGCGAACGGGUUUCGCUGAUGAAGGUACCUUACGAAUAAGCAUCGGCUAACUCCGUGCCAGCAGCCGCGGUAAUACGGAGGAUGCAAGCGUUAUCCGGAUUUAUUGGGUUUAAAGGGUGCGUAGGCGGCCUGUUAAGUCAGGGGUGAAAGGUUGCGGCUUAACCGCAGAAAUGCCUUUGAAACUGGCAGGCUUGAAUAAAGUUGAGGUAGGCGGAAUGUGGCAAGUAGCGGUGAAAUGCAUAGAGAUGCCACAGAACACCGAUUGCGAAGGCAGCUUACUAAGCUUUGAUUGACGCUGAGGCACGAAAGCGUGGGGAUCAAACAGG
Molecule: ribosomal RNA, 425 nt
Filed under: uncultured bacterium
Lineage: Bacteria
Description: bacterial SSU rRNA
Rfam family: Bacterial small subunit ribosomal RNA
Source: RNAcentral